GUCGAUCACCUCGACAACGAAGCGGCACCGGUUCUCGAGGCUGCCACCGUACUCGUCGCUGCGGUCGUUGGCGCUGUCCUUCAUGAACUGCUCCAGGAGGUAGCCGUGCGCGCCGUGGAUCUCCACGCCGUCGAACCCGGCCUCGAUGGCGUUCCGCGCGGCUCGCCUGAAGUCGUCGAUGAUCUGAGGGAUCUCCUCCGUCCUCAGCCGUCGGGGUUUCGAGUAGACGAUGCCUGAAUCGUCCGGUGUGAUCUGCCUGUCUGUGCUUGAGAUGGGCGCCUGCCCGUCAGGUUGGUAUUCUGUUGGUAAUUAAUUCAUGGUUUGCAAUUCAAUCAGCCAAAGAGAACAAUUUGCAAGAAACCAAAAACUCAACAAAAACCUAUGAAUCAAUUGCCAGCAGCUUAACUAUGUGAAGGAGUACAUACCGUUGGUGGAGACCCUGCCGACGUGCCAGAGCUGGCAGAUGAAGAGGGCGCCCUUGCGGUGGACGGCGUCGACGAUGGGCUUCCACGCCUCGACCUGCUGCUGCGUCCAGAUGCCGGGGGUGUCCGGGUAGCCCUGCGCGGUGUCGGAGACGCCGGUGGCCUCCGUGACGAGGAGGCCGCCGCUGGUGGCGCGCUGCGUGUAGUACAGCACCGCGUGCGGCCGCGGCACGUUGCCGUAGGAGCGGUUCCGCGUGAGCGGCGCGAGCACCACACGGUGGGAGAGCUCGAACCGCCCCAUCUUGUACGGCGUCAGCAGCGGGAUCUCCGCCGCCGCCGCCGCGUCCUUCUCCGCCUCGCGCGCCAUCUCAACGCUAGUGUGGCCUCUGCUACUAGCUCACUGUGCUCUGCUCUGCUCCUCUAUUGUGUUUUGCUCCGAGUCCGAUGGUCCAAGGGGGUUGAUGAUGCUCUUUCAUUUAUAGCGUCUGAGUGGGACCCUGGCGGCUUGACGGAAAUGUGCGCACUGCUAUUCCAUCGGAUCUUUCCUGCGUCACCCUCUCCGUCAUCGUCUGGUCGGUAGGAAAGUCUCUCCUUACCUGGGAGAGCGCACUGAUUUUCCUCGUGUGGGGGAAUGCGUGGUUCUAAUUUUCUAAACAUUCUUUAAUGCAACAGCCGUCUGGUGCUGAACUACUGAUGACCGGUGUCAAUCAACAAGAGUAAGAGAUGCACUGAGCUGUUAGUUCUUUUUUUUUUAACGUAUAGGUUUCUUGCAUUAUCGGCUUCACCUUUUCGCUUAUAUUUAUAUUUAUUAGUCAAAAUUAAAAUUUCAACCUUAAAUGUAGAGUUGAUUUUGAGAUUUUUUUUUGUCAUCGCAGUUUAUUUUUUAUCUUUUGCUUGUUUCUCUUAGAUCGUUAAGAACAUGUAUAUAAAAUAUAUACAACACUGCAUCUAAUACAAUUUUACUAGUAGUAGUAACCCACGGGCUAUUAUUAUUGAUAGUAUAAAUAAAAUUUUAAUUGUAGCAGGUUAUACUAAAGGGAAAUUGCUUUGCGUACGAUAAAAUUUGUACGAUUUUAGUACGAUCCUACCAUGCAUGUCUUUUUUUUUUAUUGGGUGGAAACAUGUUGGACCCCACAUUUGCAUCACACACAAGAGACUAUGAAGUAUCGUAGUCUGAUCGUAUGAAGUUUUAUCGUACGUAUAGCAAUGCUCAUACUAAAGGUAGAGUCCACACCAGUUAUGAGUUGCUAAUUAUGAAUACGAAUUUUUAGAAUUAAAUUUCAAGAUAGGUACGUCUUUAUAUUUAUUCAAUUUGAAUUUUUGAGUUAUAAAUAUUAGAAGAACUAAAACUUAAGAGUUCAUAGUGAUAAACAAUUGAAUGUUUUGGUUAACAGGUUCUCCAUAUAUAGAAAUACAACCUAAGUAAUAAAUGAUCACAUCCUUUGAGUUAGAACACUACUACACGAUAGAUUUUUGUGGACACUACCCUCUUUUGUUUCCAUGCGGUUCGUAAGUGGAACCGCACAAAAAAAUAGGGGAACCGGGGCCGAGCUGUCGCCCGCACGGGAAAAUCAAUUUUCUCGUGCGGUCCUCCUAAAUGGACCGCACGGGAAAAUGAGUCGAUUUUCCAGUGCGGAUCUAUUAAGAGAGCCGCACGCAAAAAUAGUAUUCCUUCUUUUCCCUCCCACCCACUUCAAAAUUUCCCCUCAUAUAUCUCUUUUAAUUUCUCCUCACACCCCUCCCCUCUUAUCUCUCUUCUCUCUCCCCCUCUCUCUUUCACGUCUCUCCUCUUGUCUCCUUUCGGCGCGCGGGUGACGGCGACGGCGGCGUGCGGCGACAGCGACAGCGGUUCGCGUCGGUGCGCAGUGACAGAGGCGGUGCGGCGGCGGCCUCAGCUCCACACGGCGGCGGUGGAGGCGCGGGAUCCGGCGGGCGGCGGCCAUCCCCGCUCGGAUCCGGCAUGCGGCCGGCCUUCCCCCGCGCGGGAUCCGCUCCCCUCCCCUCCCCUUCCUUCCCUCCCUAGAUCCGGCGGAGGGGAGGGGCGUCCGCGGCGGUGCGGCCAGAGGGGAGGGCGGAUCCGGUGGGCGGCGGCGCGGAGUCUAGCGGGAGGAGGGUGGCGCGGAGGCCGCCACCGAUGACGAUGAGGUGGAGGAAGCGGCGGCCAGGAGCGGCGCCGCAGCUGCGCGCCAACGAGUAGGCGCCCAUCGCGGCUGCUGGCGGAGGCAGCGCGGCGGCCGCCGCCGACGAUGACGAUGAGGAGGAGAUGGCUGGGAUCUGGCAGCCGGGAGUGUCGCCGCCCUCCCCACGCCAGGAUCUAACGGUGGCGGCUGCCCUCCGCUCGGAUCUGGCGGCGGCGGUGGCAGCCGGCGUGGCGGUGGCGGGGAGUAGCGGAUCUAGGGUUAAGGUUCGGUAAUUUGUGAAUUUUAUUUUUUUUGGAUUUUUAUUUUUCCGUGCGGGCGACAUAAGCAACCGCACGGAAAAAUCCGAUUUUCUCGUGUGGGGCGCCACCCGCACGCAAAAAUCACGAUUUUCGCAGACGAAGUGUUGCAUGUGGGCCAUUCAUCCGCACGCGAAAUUUUUCUUGACCGCACGGAAAAACCCAUCCCGUAGCAAUGGAAGCUUCUUCACAAUGUCUAGUUAGAGAGAUUUGUUUCGGUUCAAUAAAAAGUACAUCAAGCUACCGGUACCUCACGGUACCAAAUCAUUUCCGAUCGUUGGAUCUAACAAUGCCCAUCCUGUCUAGCUAUAUCCAAUAAUCGAAAACUUGGUACCAUGAGAUACUGGUACCUUAAUAUACUUUUUGCUGAACCGGAGCAAAUCUCCUAGUUAGAACAUAUAUGGAUAGAUUAGUGGUAUGUCGAGGACAGGAAAAUGACACAUCUUCCGAGACACCCAAGCUACUGAGGUAAAGAUUCACGCACCAACAAAUUUGACACACAAAGUGCCCUGCGGGAACCAUUUCUCAAGCAAAGGUCCGCAAGGAAUGGGGGAAACAGGCCAACAAGACCUCAUUAAUUAGGAUAAGGUGGCUCAGGGCGGGGGAGAAGUACUGCAUCAGCCACCAAGACAAGGGUGAUAUGUGGGUGUGAUCUUCACCCCACGCCAGAAUCGCCGUAGGCAACGACACGGUGACUCCCUCAUCAACCACGGUGUCAUCAACCUCGCCGGUGAGCCAGGAGAGGCUCUCCUGAUAGAUUGCGAUAUAGACUCUCAUUGAAGCGGGGGACGCUACUAGACGAUGUGGUGGGUGGGGCAGGCUAGAUCCGACAAAGGAGAGUAGGGUUUUGAAGGCAUGGCGCCAAGGUGGUAGAUAUGAGGAGAGAGGAACAAGAUAUGGGGCCGACUUGAAACGAGGGAGGAUAGGGGAGGGCGGGGGAGGUGGAUCCAUGGAGGUGAUCUCGAUCAAUAGAUUUAAUGUACACAUUUUUAGGUCUCUGAUUUGUCACAUGAUGAUGAUGAUGAUGAUGAUGAUGAUUAUAAUGGGUAAAACAAGUCAACGAAACAUGUAACCCAUAUAUUUGGCAGUAUCAAUACAAUAAAUACUCAACAAAAGAUAACCUUAAUUAAAUUACAAAUAUGCAUGCACAGAAAUCUACUCAUGCGUGUUUCACAAGUACACAUUAUUGAUCCAUAAAAAAAAACUCGGCGAUUUAGGUGAUAAUCAAACAAUUACUGUAGCUGAGUCCUCUUUCUUCUCCUCAAGGAAAGGGUAAUCCGUGUAGCCAACGACGGGAUCAUGUGUGUAAAAUGUAGAUCCAUCAUACUUGUUUAACGGUGCAUUAAGCUCGAACCUCCUUGGCAAGUCGGGGUUGGCCAAGAAGAGCCUCCCAUAGGCGACGAGGUCGGCAUAGCCAUCAUCCACCACCUUGUUCCCUUCCUCCCGGUCAUACCCUCCGGAGGCAAUGAAAGUGCCAUUGAAUUGCUUCCGAAAUGGCAGGAGGCCAUGGUUGAUCUUCCUCCGUCCUUCGACGGUGGCCAUCCUCGGCUCCACCAUGUGGCAGUAGAGGAGCUCUGGGUGCUUGUUGAGUUGCCGCACCAUGUAUGAGCCGAGAGCUUCGGGGUUCGAGUCGAAGCAGUCCAUAAAAUCUAUAUAUGGCGACAAUCUGAUCCCAACACGGUCAGCUCCCACCUCGGCGACGACGGCGUCGAUCACCUCGACGGCGAAGCGGCAACGGUUCUCGAGGCUGCCACCGUACUGGUCGGUCCGGCCGUUGGCGCUGUCCUUCAUGAACUGAUCGAUGAGGUAGCCAUGCGCGCCGUGGAUCUCCACGCCGUCGAACCCCGCCUCGAUGGCGUUCCGCGCAGCCACCCUGAAAUCGUCGACGACGUGAGGGAUCUCAUCCGUCCGCAGCCGCCGGGGCUUGGAGUACACCGUGUGUGAAUCGUCCGGUGUGAUCUGCUUGUCUGUGCUUGAGAUCGGCGCCUGCCCAUUCGGCUGUUGAUCUGUUGGUUCAUGUCGCAAUUAAUCGAAUCAAUCAACAAAGCACAAUUUGCAAAGACCUUAUAUUGAUAGAUCAAUCAUCAGCAAUAUAGAGUGAGAUUUGCUCCGGUCAAAAAAAAAAAAAAACCUCGAGGUACCGGUACUUCACAAUACUAAAUCACCUCCGAUUGUUGGAUCUAAUUGAGCAUGAUAGAUAUUGUUAGAUCCAACGAUCAAAAAAUGAUUUGAUAUCGUGAGGUACUGCUACCUUAAGAUAUUUUUUGUUGGACUAGAGCAAAUCUCAUUUUCUCUACUACUUAAAAAAUCUGUAGUGGUGGUCUUGAUUUCUGACAUAGCAGACGCAUCUAACAAACACGUCUAAUCUCAACCAUCCGAUUUUCAUAUCCAAUGGCGUCAAAUCUCCUCCCAUCGCUCCUCUCCUCAUCACGCGCCACGCCCACUCCUUUCCCCACGCCGCGUCCUUCGCCCUCCUCCCUGCGUCGCCUCCUCGUGGUCUUGAAUCCAACAGAUCAGAUCACAAUUCAAUCUUCCGCACGCGCCCCACGCAUCGUCGAUCGCACGCGGCGCGCACACACACCCCUUUCCCCCGAUUUUCUCUCCCUCUCAACGCCGUCUCCCAUCUCUGUUUCCUUCGCGUCCGCCUCCUCCGCCCCGCACCAAAUCUUCGCCUCCUCUUCUCCCGCCUCGCCGGCGCAUGGCGGCUGAGGGUGAGGGCAGGCUGGCAGCUGAUGAAGGCACACUACGACCCAAUCUCCGGCUCGUCGACCGCCUCCACGCACGCCCCGCCCCCGAUCUCCGCCGCCUCUUCUCCCGCCUCGACCGCCUUCACGCGCGCCGCCGGAAGCCAAUCUCCUCGGCGCCACCCCAUUCUGUGAGUAGUCCGCCUCCUCCGUCCGGCCCCCUGUCUCCGCAGCCUCUUCUCCCGCCUUGCAGGUGCCCUCCAACUCAAGAGGGCUGAGGGCGAGCACGGUGGCGCAUGGCGACUGAGGGUGAGUGCAGCUGACGACGCCACAUGACGAACCCAACCGGCUGCAUGUUAUCUUCCCCCCAAACCCUAAAAUUUCCCCAUCUCUUUCUACAAAUCCAUCUACAUGUUUUCAGAUCGGGGAUUUUGUCCUUUUGGGCGUGUUAAAUUUCAAACAUGGGAAUUAGAGAUCGGGGAUUUUGUCUUUGCCUGCCAUGUUUGUACAAAUUAUGCUAAAUGGACAAAUGAGAACACUAGGACAGCUGCUUGUGUAGAGACUGAAUGACACUGUUGCAUAACACUGUUGCUGGAUCUCCUCUCUCUUGAGACAGGGUUAUCUUUAAAUCAGUGCAAGUACGUACUGUGUUCUCAACAAGAAUUGAAAACCCAAAUAUGGAUUUAGUUGGGCAUGAUGUGUCCAUUAAGGUAAGCGAUCACCCACAUAACCCCCACAAAUAAUAGCUUCAGAACAAGUAGAUUGUUACAUCUGAAGAAAUAUCAUAUCACUCCUGGGCAUAUAUUCCAUAUGGACAAUAUGAUCGAACUUGUGAAGCAUCAGACAUGCAGAAUUAAUUUUUUUCCCCUUAUUUUCUUGAUUUUGCUGCAAUUAUAAGUAAGCAUUGUUAGUAUGAUCCCAUGGCGUGUAAUAGCAGUUCUGAACUGAUAGAUACCUGCACCCUCAAGAAAAUGGUUUCUACCGUCAGAGUAACAGGUCAGGGUCAUGCUAAUUAAUACUCCUUCUCAAAUGAAUUUUUAUCUCAAACAGUCUCAAUUCAAAAAAAAAUCAGUUCAUCAGUUUGUCAAAAAUUGUCGCUGGAUGGAUCGGUUUUAGCAUUAAUAUUGAAGCAAAUAAAUGCAUAGGUGAAUUAGAUUUUUUUUUUCUCUAUAAGGAUAUUUUGUGCCACUUGCUUUGGUUGUCGGUUAGUUCAUCCAUGAACUCGGUAGGGAACUUGUCUAAGCAACCAAUGGUCAAUUUUCUCAUGAAGCAGUCUUUUUUUCUUACCAGUUAAAAUGUUUCCAGCUACAACAAAUACUCAGGUUUCAUUUCAUUGCUCAAUUUCAGAUCAUUUGUCGAGGUUGGAAUUGCUGCGGGAUCAAGCGAAGCCUCGUCAGGCCAUGCCCUCGUCUCAUUCCUCAGUUUAUAGAGUCCAUUCCAAGCAGGUACAAUAUACAUCCUCGGAACAAAUAAAUGUAUUUGGUUUUAUAAGAAAAAUUAGUUUGCAGUGCAUCAGUGAUCCUAUAUUCCUGCUUAUUGGAGUACAUACAUAUAUGAUUAUUGGCGUUCAUCUGUGAUCAGUUCCCUAGGUUUAGAUCCAUUGUGUUAUUUAGAAUUAGAAUGGUCAUUUAUUCAGGGGGCUUUGACCUGUUAGUAACCCGAGUCAAGUCAUGGCCUAAUUAACUGAAUGAAUGAUUUCAGACUCAAGAAAAUUGAAAAUAAUCUACGCAUCUUAUCUUAUGAAAAUAGUAUGGGAAAGAGCACAGGAAAAUAAUCUAUCUGAACUAUACCAGUUUGUAGCGUGGGAAUAUGUUAUACUCAGUUUUGAGGGUGUACCACGGUAACUAAUGAUUCACAGCUGCUUUCCUCCAGGGUGAACCCUCACUUUGCUGGUUGGCUUUCAGCCGUGGAUUAGCAACUGGUUCAUGUUCUGAAAUUUUUAUACUAACCAUCCUCAGUCUGUAGUAUUUGAAAUCAAUCUUUCAGUUUGUUCUGAAAUUUUUAUACUAACCAUCCUCAGUCUGUAGUAUUUGAAAUCAAUCUUUCAGUUUGUUCUGAAAUUUUAUGCAGAAUAUAACCAAUGCCAGUAUUUUGGAAUGAGCGCAGAAUUGAUCCGUCACUUCUGAAGAAACUCCGUUACUUAGCAGAAGCAGAGGCCACAACCUGGCAGCGGCUGGUCACUUCAGCGGUCUCCAAUUGCCUUUGAAUACGCCAAUGGUAAUUUCAAAAAUCUCCAAGUAGUCCACUAAUUUUAUUACUUACAUUUUUUUUCAUCUAAAGCAAAAUUGAAAACAUAUGUUUCCUUGUAAUUCUAAAUUUGACUGCACAUAUUUUGAUUUUUGAUGAGUACUGCUCGAUAGAUUCAAAGCGGCCAUGAGUUUUUUUUUUUGAGUUGAAGUGGCAAGAGCAUUGCCGAAUAUAUUAGACGAAUAGAGUUCACCCUGUUUAUAAGGAAAACCGGGCCCAAAAAACAUACAACUGCCCGGUUUGCUAAAGUGAAACCGGCGAAAACCUUACACAGAAGACACAAAAAGCCUGAGACAAGACAACUACGAACUGUCGGAGGCCGAGGGAUGAGCAAGACCGUAAGAUGAAAUCUCCAAGGAGGUGAAUAACGACAUAAGCCGCUGUCGACGUCCGUCCAAAAACUGGGCUGGUUUUCACCCAGGGGGGAGGGAGUCCACAAGGCAACACCUCCAGGGAGGAAACGGCACCCGUGGGCGUCGAUAUUGCCAAUCCUAGAACAGGCAGGGCAUGAGGUUUUUGGGAACUAGCAAUUAUUGAUUUUGAUUGUUGAUGAUGAAGAGUUCUGACUAUCUACAUGGGUUAGUUUCUUGUUCAACAAAUUCAGGAAAUAGUUUCAGCUCAUCAGAAGUUUGCAUCGAUGUCAUCCCUUCUAGCCAUCUUCUGUGCAUUUGCUUGGAACAUUUGGUUCUGCACUACCGUUGACUAUAAAAUACAGCUCAACAGAGCUUUAUUUUCUCACAUUUCUCAUAACAAGUUGGAUAUGGAAAACCAUCGACUCUGAAUAGGAGAUAGCGAGCUUUGGAAUGAUUCUGAGAUAGCUCCAUUUUUUAUCUUGUCUGAACUUUGGCUGUGAGCUCAAAUGAUUAAAUCAGUAUCUUUUUCAUUUUUUUCAGCCACUGAAUACUUUUUAAUAGUUUUCUAUUAUUCUAUGGAUAAUGCUUGUGUGCAUGCUUAUGAUGGAUUGCUAAUUGUUUUACACGUGCAUAAUAACUGUAAUUAACUGGGGGAGUGCUUCUUGAGGUAGAUGGAAAGCUUUGCUACUUUUGAAGAAAACGAGUGGAUAAUAGAGAAAUUGGGUGAGACAUCAUUUAUUCUGCGCAACUUUGAGAACUGGCUGAGAUGUAAACCUGGGAAAUAUAGUCAUCCCGUGUGAAUAACACAAAUGAGCUUCGAAGGACAAACAUCAUGCCAUUGGGUCAGUUCUGCAGUUAAAGAUAGUUGUCUGAAAUUGAUGAAGUUCUUGACUGCAGGUUGUCUUUUAAGCAGUUUGUAGCUUAAUAAACGGUUGUGCAGGUGCCAUGGUCAUACUAUUGAUCCUGUUAGAACAAACAAGAUAAAAUGGAUGUGCCCAACAACUAGACAAUACCACAUAACUUAUGAUAUUACCGAUAGUGAUGCGAAAAUCAGGGAAUAGACAGUAUUGUUUCUUCUUGAUUCAGAAGGCGUUCUCCAGCUUUCAGCAAGCCUCAUCUUCUAUUGAUUUUGGCAUGAUUGAGCGAACGAAGUUAACCUCGCUAAAUGAAGGUACCCACCGCUAUAGACUGUAAUGAUACUCCCUCCGUACUUAUAAAGGAAGUCGUUUAGGACAAUGUUUAAGUCAAACUUUAGGAAUAUAAAUCAUAAAUAACUCUUAAGUUGUUGAAUUUGAAAAUAAAAAAAUUAUAUGAAUAGAUUUGUCUUGGAAAAUACUUUCAUAAAAGUGUGUGUGUGUGUAUAUGUAUAUAUAUAUAUAUAUAUAUAUAUAUAUCACUUUUCAAUAAAUAUUUUUAUAGAAACAAGAAGUCAAAGUUAUGUUUUGGAGACCGUGUCACUGUCAUAAACGACUUCCUUUGUGAGUAUGGAGGGAAUACACAUUAGUUACUAAAUUUUCAGAGGCUUUUGCCUUAACUUUGUUCAAAAUAUAAUGGAGAACUCUGUUAACAGGACUCGUAAUGGGGCAAUGUUGACGUCACUCAAUGAAGCUACAUGGGUCUUGCAUAAAGGGAUUGAUCAGCUUUUCUUUUAUGCUUGCUCAUUGAUGAAAUGACAGGCAUUAGGCCUUUUUAUUUUCAAACAUUUAAUUUGCUAACAUUGAUGCCGUGUACCCUUAGUAGUAUUAUUAUAUAGUAGAACAUUAUUUAUAUCAUGUUCUUUGGGGACAAAUUUACACCGAGUGAUUAUUUCACCUGGUGUGAUUUGAAAUUGAGGCAUAUUCUUUUUCCCGUUGCAACGCACGGGCACCCAACUAGUAUAUACUAGUAGUAGUUACCGUUGGUGGAGGCCCUGCCGACGUGCGCUAGCUGGCAGAAGAAGAGCGCGCCCUUGCGGUGGACGGCGUCGACGAUGGGUUUCCACGCCUUGACCUGCUGCCGCGUCCAGACGCCGGGGAUCUCCGGGUAGCCCUCCCCGGUGGCGGACACCCCGGUGGCCUCCGAGAUGAGGAGGCCGCCAUUGGUGGCGCGCUGCGAGUAGUACAGCGCCGCGUGCGGCUGUGGCACGUGGUCGUAGGAGCGGCACCGAGUCAGCGGCGCGAGCACCACGCGGUGGGAGAGCUCGAACCGCCCCAUCUUGUACGGCGCCAUAAGCGGGAUCGCUGCCGCCGCCGCCUCUUUCGCCGCUGCUUGCGCUUGCACCAUGUUAACUACUCCUAGCUUGAUUCUUGCUGGUUUUUCGGUGUGGAUCUCGCGAUGCCAAAAACGCCCAAAAUGCUCUGGAUUUCUCUCGGUUUGUUUCUUCCUGCUGCUCUGUUUUUAGUUUUUGCUGUGUUUCCAACCGGGUUGGUGCCCGAUAGUACUUAUAGGUGUCGGAAUGGGAGCAUGGUACGGGCGGCGGCGGCGGCCAAGAUGGCCAAUUAUGGCAAGUGUACGCACGCAAGUUCGUCAGCUCUUGACUGCACUGGUGACUGGUCACGCUUUCUGUUUAUGCUGUCGUCACCCUCUCUGUCAUCGACUUGGUGGUCAGAAAAGGUUUCUGUCUGCUCCCGUCGGAACAGAUUCAGGCCUUGUUUAGGCCGUGUUUAGUAGUUUUGGCAAAAAAAAAAUUAACGUAUACAUACAUAUAUAUAUAUAUAUAUAUAUAUAUAUAUAUAUAUAUAUAUUUAAAGUAUUAAACGUAGACUAAUAACGAAACAAAUUACAGAUUUCGUCUGUAAACUGCAAGAUAAAUCUAUUAAUUCUAAUUAAUUCGUCAUUAGUAAAUAUUUAUUGUAGAACCAUAUUGUCAAAUCAUGGUGUAAUUAGGCUCAGAAGAUUCGUCUGGCAAUUUACAUGCAAACUAUGCAAUUAUUUUUUUUUGUCCAUAUUUAAUGCUCCAUGCAUGUGUUCAAACAUUUGAUGUGACGGAAAAGUUGGAAGUUUGAAUGGAACUAAACACAGCCUUAAUUUUUUUUUCCAAAAACGCCACAUCGAAUUUUGAUCACAUGCAUAGAGCAUUAAAUAUAGAUACUACCUCCGUUUCAGGUUAUAAGACUUUCUAGCAUUGCCCACAUUUAUAUAGAUGUUAAUGAAUCUACACACAUAUAUGUCUAGAUUCAUUAACAUAUAUAUGAAUGUGGGCAAUGAUAGAAGUCUUAUAAUAUGAAACGGAGGAAGUAGAAAAAAACUAAUUGCACAGUUUGUAUGGAAAUCGCGAGACGAAUCUUUUGAGCCUAAUUAAUCCAUGAUUAGCCAUAAAUGUUACAGUAACCCACAUGUGCUAAUGAUGGAUUAAUUACGCUUAAUAAAUUCGUCUCGCGAUUUUCAGGCGAGUUAUGAAAUUAGUUUUUUCAUUCGUGUUCCAAAACCCCUUCCGACAUCCGGUCAAACAUCCGAUUUGACACCUAAAAAUUUUCUUUUCGCGAACUAAACAGGGUCUGAGAAAAUAAUAGAAAAAGAAGCCUCUACGUUUGCUCUCAUAGCCUAGAAAAUCCCACAUUAAUUGGUGAAAAAUAAUAAAAAAAUUAAAAAACAAUUUGAGACAAUAUCACAUUAACAGCAUAAAAAAAAAGAAAAACAAAAAGAAUCAAUCGGACACCCUGCUUACGUAGUAAAAUCAGGACUCUUUAUUCAAUUUGGAAACACUAUUUUAAUUUAGAAAACAACAGUCAUACAUGGUCUAUCAAAGUGAAACCAAUCAGAAACAGAAAUAGAAUAAUGCAUGUAUUUGUUUCAUAUUGUACUCACUGCAUUAAUGGCAAAAAAAUACACAGACUUAGCAACCAAAGCAAAAUACAAAUACACAAAACAAUCAUAGCUGGUACGCGGGAAAUCAUCUCGCCAAAAUUAGCUUCGUCAACAAAUUAGAUAAUAGAAAAACAAAUCACCACGUUUGCUCUCAUAACCUAAAAAUUCACACAUUAAUUAAAAAUAAAAAACAGAGUCAUAUUUUUAAAAUUUAUGUUAUUCAGAUAAAAAAGUAAAACAAAUAAAAGGUGAGUCCAUAUAAAAAACAAUUUUCAAAAAUAUGAAAUUUGGAUUAAAUGUAUAAAAAAUAAAUAUUGAAAUAAGAGUAAAUGUAAAAAUAUAAUUUAUAAAAAGAAAAUCUAAAAUCGGAUUAAAUUAGAAAAUAAUUAAUAUCGAUAAAAUACUCCAUGUAGAAAUACAGUUUAUGUUGCCAUUUUUAAUACAUUUUAUAAUAAAAUAUAAAAACAUAUAUGCUACUAUAAUGAAAUAUAAAAGAAUUUUAUAAUAAUACUAGCCGCGCAAUCUGCGUGGGCAAAUAAUUAUUGGAGUAAGCAAUGCAUGGGAACAAGGAAGAUAGACUGAUGUUAUAGUACAACUAAACCCACCUUCUUUACAUCAACAUGUGAUGCACGUAGAUAUUGCGACAUGAAUUACAGCACAGAGACAAAUUCCCCCGGCAAAUAGUCUUAGCUGGAAGGAACUGGGGCGGCAGUAUUGCAGCUUCCAUCCGCGCCGUGAGAAACAAGCUGUUGUAUAAACUCGUCAAUGUACCUCUCAUGGAGUUCCUUGUCAGCUACAAGCUCUUGCAGCCUGAUGGCGUUUGCUACAAACACCCUCCUGGUUUCUUCCUCAACCAUGACGGCCCGGACCGCGGCGGCGACGCCAUGGCGGUCGAAUGACCCGUCCAUGUCAUCCCGCCUCACCUGCGAUCCUACCUUGUUACCCUCCAUGAGCCGCGCGUUCGGCCCUUGGUCCCCGAAGAUGGGCAACAUGAUGAGAGGGUUCCCAAACAGAAGCCCCUCGACGAGCGAGUUGCGGCCACAGUGCGUCAAGAAGGCGCCCACCGCGGCGUGCGCCAGUAUGGUGAUCUGCGGAACCCACCCCAUGGCAACAUGUCCAUGGCUCUUCGUCCGUUCUUGGUAACCCGGAGGAAGGACAUCUGAGAGAUCGACGCCAUGGGGCUUUCUCAGCGCCCACAGAAAUCGUGUCCCGGCGAGCUCCAGCCCGAGAGCCAGCUCGUGCACCUGCUCCAAUGGUAGAGGCACCUCGCUCCCCAGCGCCACGUACACCACCGACUUCGCCGGCUGCACGUCCAGCCACCGCAUCGUCGAGUUGUCCGUCAUGCCGGCGCGGCGGCGGCCUCCGUCGGGCGACGGUGGCACGAGGCCGAGGGGGAUGAGCGGCUUGUUCUUCAGGCCCGCCGCCACCUGCUGGAAGGCGUCGGGCUCCCACUCCGGGCAGCUCCGCAUGGCCGCCAGCGUGCACCUCUCCAUCGCCAAGGAGCAGCGCUUCGCGACGGACAUGCCCGACGCGCCAUGGUCGACGAAGAAGCUUGCCUUCUGCGCCCACUCUUAACAUGGCACGCCCUCCCGGCGUUCUUCUACCACGCCGAGCACUUGGAAGAUGGAAGCGCCGGCUGGCUCCGACGACCGGGUGGCCCAUCCGGCCAUCAUGGAGGCGCUCGGGAGAAGCAUCGCGCAUGGCACCUUGUGCUGGAGGGCGACCAGGGGUGCCCAGUGGUGGAACGUGUCGGCGAUGAUCCAAUCAGGCCUCUCGCCGGCGGCGUCGCACGCGGCGCCCAGGAACUCCGCGAACGGCGCGGCGAGGGCGUCGAAGGCCUUCCAGAGGAGCUCGAACUUGCCGGAGGGAACGUCGUUGGUGCACUCGGUGCCGUCCGGGAGGCGCGCGAGGUUGCGUGGCGUGGAGACGAAGGACACGCGGUGGCCACGCGACGCCACGCGCUCCGCGAGCUCGAGGUAAGGGAGCAGGUGGCCGAACGCGAGCCAUGGGAAGAUCACAAGGUGCAGCCUCGACGAGGAUUUGGACCGGCCGGUGUCCAUGGCGAUGUUGCCAGAUACAGAGGAGCUAAACCUUAAUCUCUCGCUGUCUCAUGAAUAAUAAACACCGGUAGAGAUAAGAAAUCAGCAAGAAACCAUAUGCAUUAGCUAGUUGUUCUUUAUAUAACCAGUCUUCAAAUAAUGAUUGAUUUUAUUGGUGAAACAAUGGUCUUACCUAUCGAUCGAUUUUUUAUGUGAAACAGGACUCAAUAGCUAGUGGUUCUUAAAUUUUUAUUAUUUUCUGUAGGUACUUGUUGACAGUGAAAUUUGGUAAGCCCAAAGUCAUCAUCGGCUUAGAGUCAAUAUCGGCUUCAGAGUCCUGAAAUCAGCCGAUGGGAGUCGACAAAUCGCCAACAACCGUGUUCUCGAUGGAAUCGGAUCAAUUAAAGGGAAUUUAUCCAGAAGAGUCCGAGUUCAAGAAGAAUGCGGCAUGGCAGUUUAUCUAUUAAUUAGGAAUAGUUUGUUAGUUUCCUUUUUAUUUUUAGGAAAGUGUGUUUAGUGUCCUAUAAGGACUUUAUGUUUUCCUUUUAUCUUUAGUAAAGUUUCUUUCUUGUCCCAUAAGGACUAGUAUCUACCCAUGGGUAUAAAUAUGUACACUCGGGGUCAUUGUAAUCUAUCUCUACGAUCAACACAAUUCGGCGCAUCGCCACCCUUUUUACUUUUACUUUUGUUUCUACGUUCCGGUGGAACUUGGCACCCGACGCGGGGCUGCAUCGGUGUUCGAUCUCCGGCUAAGGGGUAAGUCCAAUGUUCCAUCGGCCCAGGCAAUUGUCUUAUCUACAUCGGCGUCGUUCAAGGCUGCAUCAGUACAUUUGACCUCUUGGAUUGCACUGGUUUGGAUGAUAUAUUUGCCUACCUACUUAUCAUAUGUCUCUGUUAAUCUAGUCGUAGCAUAUCGAUUUAGCUCUAUCGGCUGUCUCUCGCUUUAGAGUUUCUGCCGGUAUCGGCUAAAUCGCGUUGCUAGAUUAGAUUAGUUUAGACAUCUACCACCCUGAAAACUCAGUCAACGGCUUGAUUGUCUAGAUAUUAUGUUUCUUUUCAUACUUAGUGCUGCAUCAGUUAAGUUUGAUCUACUAAGUCGUGCUUAGAACCAUAAUCCCUAGCCUGCUUCUUGAUUGCCAAUAAGGGUUUCAUCGGGGUUUCAGCCGGUGAGUUAUCUGGACGUUGCAUCGGCUUGUAAGGAUUGCAUAUACAUACAUAUUGGAUUUAGCCGAUGACAACAAAGGUUUCACUGUUUAAUCUAAUCUUGUAGAUUUCAUGGCAUCGGACCGCUAGCCGAUGUGUGCUUUAACCUUCGGAUCAGUGCUUGUUCUACUAUAUCAUAUUGUUAGCCGAUUGGUUUCUACUGGAUAUUAUUGUUAUAUUUUAUUACCAUCAGCCGAUUGCCUUUAUAUCAUUAUCUACAUUGGACAUAUAGCCGAUUGCUUAAACCCUAUCGCUAUCGGCUGGUACCGGCAUCGGCUAUUAUCGGCUAUCGGCUGGAACUGCUCCAUCGGCUUGUCAGCCGAUCGGUUGUUUUGAUCUACUAUUUACAUAUCUUGUCAGUGGCAGGAUCAAACUGACUGGCAUGCCUGUAUCUCAUCAUAUUUGGACCUGCACUGGAGCUAAGCAGAUCUCCUAGGCCGACGUGUUCAAUUUUUUCGUCAACGGUAUUGCAGGUCUCGAUGGUUCUUAAUUAUAAUAUAUAUAUCGUAUGCGUGCAACACAUGUUGUGAAUAAUAAAUAAAUAAUCUCAACCCAAUAAAGUCUGUUUCUGCCAUUUCACUUUCGAUAGAUUUUAGGUCUAUGUCUUUCAUUUUUCUUUCGUAAGAUCUUGCAUCAAAAUUUGUGUUUAUUUAGAUCUAACAUGUAGUUACACUAGUUACAGUAAACUUACUAGGUUACGUUGCACCAAAAUUAGAUUCUUUUUUUUACAACUGUUUUGUUUCUAUAUUUACGAUUUUUGGCAUGUUUGUUCCUUUUUAUUUCAUUUAAAACGGGUUGUAUAUAUUGGAUGAAAAUUAUGUAAGAUUUGAAGCUCCAAGUCUAUCAAUCUAUUGAUAGGUAGUACCAUAACAGUUUACUUCGGAAGAUCAUCAGUGGACGACACUUUCUACUGAUAUGAAUUAAGAGCCAUAGUGCUCCAAACACCAACAAGUAGUAGACAAGCAGCUCUUUUACAACAUAUGUGGGAAAAAGAAUUUAUUUCUUAAUUUAAUUUGAUAGUUCGUGUACAACACCAUUGUUAUUCAUGCUUGGCGCCCAAUUCAGGGAAUGACAAGGAUAAGAUAGAAGUGAUAAUUUCUUUUUAAGUUUUGAAUCGAUUUAUGGUAUAGAGUUGACACAAUUUGCUUAUGGCGUUAAUUGGUCUACUAAAUUUUAGCGGUACAGAUAGAUACACUAGCGAGGAGGGAAGGAGGAUUGGGGAGGAGAGGGAUGCCAGGAAGGAGGGAGAGAGGUAGGGGAGAAGAGGAGCACUGAGAGAAGAGGGCUGCCGAGCUGGGAGGAGGGCCAGCAUGAACGAGGGGCGCUAACAUGAAUUUUCUUAGUCCGCCACUAGCUACAAUAUCUCAGCGCCAGUAAGUUUGGCGUUGAGCUCUUAUUCAAGGUGGCGCAAAUUUGCCAAGAUGUCGAAGCGCAGUACCACUCCACUGACACUGAGCUCUCUACUGCUAAAAACAGUGUGCAUUCCCUCUUUUAUAGCAAAGCAAGGCUAGUGCAGUGGUGGAGGUCUUCAGUCUCGAGACGACGGUUUGAUUCUGCCAUCCUUCAUGCUUGCUUUUUUUUUUCCCAUUUCACUCAACACUUUUUAAUCAGUAGAGUGCCUAGCGCCAAUGAUAUUGAUGCUAAACUCUGAUGAUAUGGUAUACUCAUGCCACUACUAGUAGAGAGCUCAACACAAUGGCAUUGGCACUAAACUCCGAUGACAUCACAAACUCGUGCCACCUUGGACAAUGUGCUCAUCUUCGAUGACAUUGUAAACUUGUGCCACCUUGGACAAGAGCUCAGCACUAGGCAUUGGUAUUGAGAUGUUAUACCUCAACACAGUGGCGAAUAUAGAAUAUAAACUAUGAAGAUGCGGGUGUAAAAAUAUAGUAUGACUGAAACAACCCAGUGUGAUCAUAGGUGCUCCAUGAUAGGUGUGUUGAGCUGCAUUAGAUAAUGCAAUAGGAUUUUGAUAGUAUUAGCACUAUAAUGAUCAUAGGAAAGGGAAUACAUAUUUCUCGAACAAUAUUAUUACAUUAGCUCGUUAAUUUCGAACCACCAGCUACAAACUUUCAAGAAAAAAAAUGUAUUCAUGCUUGUCCGUAUCACAUGAGAAGCGUUACUCCCUCCGUAUUUUAAUGUAUGACGCUGUUAACUUUUUAACCAACGUUUGAUCAUUCGUUUUAUUCAAUUUUUUUUGCAAAUAUGAAAAUAGUUAUGUCAUGCUUAAAGAAUAUUUGAUGGUGAAUCAAGUCACAAUAAAAUAAAUGAUAAUUAUAUAAAUUUUUUGAAUAAGACGAAUGGUUAAACGUUGGAUAAAAAGUCAACGGCGUCAUACAUUAAAAUAUGGAGGUAGUACAUUAUUAAUCCAAAUAAUAGGCUAAAAUUGGAUUAUUUAGGUGCCAAUUAAGCAUAGGUAGUUGUUGACUCCUCAUCAAUCUCCUCAAGAAAAGGGUAAUCUGUAUAACCAACAACGGGAUCCUGUGUAUAAAAGGUAGACCUGUCAUACCUGUUCAAUGGUGCGUCAAGCUCAAACCUCCUCGGCAAGUCAGGGUUAGCCAAGAAGAGCCUCCCGUAGGCGACGAGAUCGGCAUAGCCAUCAGCCACCACCUUGUUCCCUUCCUCCCGGUCAUACCCGCCAGCAGCGAUGAAAGUGCCAUUGAACUGCUUCCUGAAUGGCAGGAGACCAUGGGUGAUCUUCCUCCGUCCUUCGACGAUGGCCAUUCCUGGCUCCACCAUGUGGCAGUAGAGAAAGCCUGGGUGCUUGUUGAGUUGCUGCACCAUGUAUGAGCCGAGAGCUACCGGGUUGGAGUCGAAGCAGUCCAUGUAGUUGUCGAAUGGCGAUAAUCUGAUUCCAACACGGUGCGCUCCCACCUCGGCGACGACGGCAUCGAUCACCUCGACGGCGAAGCGGCACCGGUUCUCGAGGUUGCCACCGUACUCGUCGGUGCGGUCGUUGGCGCUGUCCUUCAUGAACUGGUCGAGGAGGUAGCCGUGCGCGCCAUGGAUCUCCACGCCGUCGAACCCCGACUCGAUGGCGUUCCGCGCGGCUCGCCUGAAGUCGUCGACGAUCUGAGGGAUCUCGUCUGUCCGGAGCCGCCGGGGCUUGGAGUACACCAUGCCUGAAUCGUCCGGUGUGAUCUGCUUAUCGGUGCUCGAGAUCGGCGCCUGUCCAUUUGGCUGGAAAUCUGUCGAUUUCAUUUCGAAAUUUAAUUAAUCAACCAACGAGCACAAUUUGCAAUGACCUUUGAAAAAAAAUCAACCAACCACCAGCAAGUGGACGAACCUGUGGUGGAGACCCUGCCGACGUGCCAUAUCUGUAGGAAGAAGAGGGCGCCCUUGCGGUGGACGGCGUCGACGAUGGGUUUCCACGCUUCGAUCUGCUGCUGCGUGUAGAUGCCGGGGGUGUCCGGGUAGCCCUGCGCGGUGGGGGAGAUGACAGUGGCCUCCGCGAUGAGGAGUCCGCCGUUGGUGGCGCGCUGCGAGUAGUACACCGCGGCGUGCGGCUGCGGCACGUGGCCGUAGGAGCGGCACCGCGUCAGCGGCGCGAGCACCACCCGGUGGGACAGCUCCAGCUGCCCCAUCUUGUACGGCGUCAGCAGCGGGAUCGCCUCUUUCGCAGGUGCGUGCACCAUCUUGGCCUGGAGUGCGCACGCGAUUUCGUCAGGUAUAGACUGGUAGCCGCUUUUCUGUUCCCAACUGCUUCAGUUAGUGCAACAAACCAAGAAAAAGAAAAUCUAACAAAUGUAUGGGCAUUCACCUCACGAGCGCACACGAGGUAACGACGGCCUGGAUUCCUAUCCGUGCGUGAGGUUUUGAUUGCCACAGGAAAACGGCAGCAACACUUCAACACCGGCGGCGAAGACGCCAUGGAUGUUUGGAGGGAGAGUAGAGAGGAAGGUUGGGGAAAGAAGACGACAGUGCGUGUGGUUUGGGGAUGGAUGUGCUGGCCCUCUCUAUCACCAACACAAGAUCCUGGUACUAGAAAAGAUGUACUAGUUAUUGGGGCGGAGCUAGCACCAAAACUAAGGUGGUGCACUACCAUUGAAAACCUAUAAAACUUCAAUCGAAUACUGUGCAUUUCAGUGUUUUAAAGUGAGAAAUCUUGGCUUUAGGGGAGUUCCUGUGCAUCAGAUUAGCUGAACGUGGCUGACUAGUACUAUACCACCAACACGCAUGACGGGGACAGCGCGUGUGGUUUGGGGAUGGAUAUACUGCCACUCUAUCCCCACCAGCUAUUAGGACAGGUGUGGGUCCAGUUGACAUGACUAUACUUAGGCCGUGUUUAGUUUCAAAGUUUUCCUUUAAAUUUCUAACUUUUUCAUCAGAUCAAAACUUUCCUAAAUACAUAAACUUCCAACUUUUCCGUCACACCGUUUCAAUUUCAACCAAACUUUCAAUUUUGGCGUGAACUAAACACAGUCUUACAAAGGUUACAAAGGCCGUGUUUAUACCUUUGUCACAUCGAAGAUACGGACACAUAGAAGUAUUAAACGUAGUCUAAUAACAAAAAAAAAUACAUAAUCCGUCUAUAAACUGCAGCACCAUAUUGUUAAAUAUAUAGCAAUUAGGCUUAAAAGAUUCGUAUCGCAAUUUACACGCAAUCUGUGUAAUUAGUUUUUAUUUUUAUCUAUAUUUAAUACUUUAUACAUGCAUUCAAACAUUUGAUAUGACAGGGUGAAAAAACUUGCCAGAAGAUCUAAUCAGGCCUAAAGAAUACGGAACACAGAAAAUGAAUGAACGGUUGCAAUAGAUAUGGACUGGUAGAUGUAUGCACGAAUCUCCAAGUUGAGAAAAUUCCAUAUGUACCCUUGAAACUUCACCCAAUCCCUUCUAUUCUCCUGAGAUUUGUUUAUUUUCUUUCAUAUCCCUAAGUUUCAAUUUGGAUCCCUUCUAUACCCCUUUCAUCAGUUGACUAUUAUUUGACCGUUAAAUUUCUAUCAUAAAGUUCAUUUUUCUUUUUGGUAUCAAGAAAAUAUAAAUUUAUGAAGUAUAUUGAUAAAGUGUAUACUGAUAUGAAUUAGGAGCCAUACUGCUCCAAACACCAAAGUAGACAAGCAGCUCUUUUUACGACAUAUGUGGCAAAAAGAAUUUAUUUCAUAAUUUAAUUUGACAGUUCGUGUAUAACACCAUUGUUAUUCAUGCUUGGCGCCCUUUAGGAAAUGACACAGGUAGAUGGAAGUGAUAAUUUCUUUUUAAGUUUUGAAUCGAUUUAUGGUAUAGAGUUAACAUAAUUUGUUUAUGGCGUUGAUCGGUCAACUAAAUUUUAGCGGUACACAUAGAUACGCUGGGGAGGAGGGAAGGAGGGUUGGGGAGGAGAGGGAUGCCAGGAAGGAGGGAUAGAGUGUAGGGGAGAAGAGGGGUGCUAAUAGAAGAGGGCUGCCAAGUAGGGAGGAGGGACGACAUGGAUGAGGUCCGUACGUCAACAGGGAAGAGAGAGCCGCAGGUGGGGAUGGAGCGCGCAUGCGGCGGGGCAAGCGAUCGGAAUCAGAACCGAGAACCGAGAUGGAUAGGGAGAGUUGGGCGGACUAAUAUUUUGUUGGAAGCAGAUUUUAUUUUUUAAAUAGGCAAAGAUUGAUCCUUUAAAAAAACUUGUUUUGAAAAAACAUCAUGAUAAAAACUAAUUACAGAAAUAGGCAUCUGCUUUAGCACCAACCUCAAUGACACUGAGCUAUAGCCUGGGACGAACCCAAGGGGUGCCGGGUAUGCACUACCCAAAAAUUUUGAAAAAAAAACACUAGGGUGUGGCGUGGAAUCAUGGCAAGGAUGGUAGCGAGAAAGCAUUAAAAUAGAAUCCCCUCGAUGAAUAGAGCACAAUGGUGAUCACAGUUUGUCCGGAGGUCAAAUCAGGAUAAGAAGAAAGGACUGAAGGAAGAACCAAGAAGAAGAAUGGCUAGGUAGCUUAGGGCAUGAUGGCUUUCGUUGGAUGGUAUCACUAGGAGUUCACCUUACUAAUUCAUUGUGCAUCCACGAUGUCGUGCAGCUGUGCGCAUUAAAAUAACCGAUCAGAUCAAGAGUGGACUGAAACUCGAUGGUAAUAAGAAGAUGAACCUUUAGAGACUAUACAACUAUCUUAACUGACAACGGGUUGCGGCAAGGGACGAAGCAUGAGUGGACUGCUUUUUCUUCCCCUGAAUUUUACAGAUUUUUCACGAAUUCUGAACCACAGUUUGAUUAUUUUUUUGAAAAAUUAAAUCAAAAUUUGCCAAAAUUUUGCUACCAAACCUUGAUGUUUUCUUUUUAAAAGAUAGAGGGGAGUGAUCCCUAAUAGACACACUCAACGUGAAUUUCCUUAGUCCUCCACUACCUGCAAUGUCUCGGCACUAGUAAGUUUGGAGUUGAGCUCUUAUUCAAGGUGGUACAAAUUUGCCAGGAACCAAAGUACCACUGCCACUGACAUUGACCUCUUUAUUGCUAAAAAUAGUGUGCAUUCCCUCUUUUACAGCAAAGCAAGGCUAGUGCAGUGGUGGAGGUCUUCAGUCCCAAGUCCAUGGUUUGCUUCCGUGAUCCUUCAUACUUGCUUUUUUUUUUCCAUUUCACUCAACACUUUUUAAUUAGUAGAGUGCUCAGGGCCAAUGAUAUUGAUGCUAAACUCUGAUGACAUGGUAUACUCGUGCCACCACUAGUAGAUAGCUCAACACAAUGGCAUUGGCACUAAACUCCGAUGACAUGAUAAACUCGUGCCACCUUGGACAAUGUGCUCAUCUUCAAUGACAUUGUAAACUUGUGCCGUCUUAGACAAGAGCUCAAAGCUAAGCAUUGGUAUUGAGAUGUUAUAGCUCAACGCAGUGGCGAAUCUAGCAUAUAAGUUAAGAAGAUGCUGGUGUAAAAAUAUAGUAUGACUGAAACAACCCGGUGUGAUCAUGGGUGCUCUGUGAUAGGUGUGUCGAGCUACAUACUCUAACACAGUAGGAUUAGCACUAUAAUGAUGAUAGGAAAAGGAAUACAUCGAUUUUUUUAAAAGUAAUAUGAUUUUAAUGGAAAAUCGCAAAACUAUAGAUCAGUUUGAUGAAAUCGCAAGUUUAGCACCCUAUCGAACAAUCACGGUUCGAUAGGGGUACCUAUCGAACAACUACAACUACAGUUCGACAGGUACAUGUCGAACUGUUUUAGUUCGACAGGGUAGUUCGUCCAAAAACAAAUAAAAAAGUACAUGAACAGUAUCACUACAGUGCUAGACAGGGACAUAUCGAACUGCCAAAGUUCGAGAGGGGUUGCGUGAACAGCGCGCUAUAGUGAUGCUACAGUGCUCGCAGGCACAUAUCGAACUGCCUAGGUUCGAUAGGGUAUUGUGAACAGCGUGCUACAGUGAUUUUUCCUUUUUUAAUUUUUUUUAAUCACCUGUCGAACUGCCGCAGGUACCCUAUCGAAUUGUAGUUGUUCGAUAGGUAUCCUGUCGAACCACGGUUGUUCGAUAGGGUGCUAAACUUGCGAUUUCAUCUAACCGACCUAGACUUUUACGAUUUUCCAUUAAAAUCGUAUUAUUUUCAAAAAAAAAAUUCGAAUACAUCUUUCUCGAACAAUAUCAAUAUUACAUUAGCUCAUUAAUCUCGAAUCAACAGCUACAAACUUACAACAAAAAAAUGUAUUCAUGCUUGUCCGUAUCACAUGAUAAGUGUUACAUUAUUAAUCCAAAUAAUAGGCUAAAAUUGGAUUAUUUAGGUGACAAUUAAGCAUAAGUAGUUCUUGACUCCUCAUCAAUCUCCUCAAGAAAAGGGUAAUCUGUAUAGCCAACAACGGGAUCCUGUGUAUAAAAGGUAGACCUGUCAUACCUGUUCAAUGGUGCGUCAAGCUCAAACCUCCUCGGCAAGUCAGGGUUAGCCAAGAAGAGCCUCCCAUAGGCGACGAGAUCGGCAUAGCCAUCAGCCACCACCUUGUUCCCUUCCUCCCGGUCAUACCCGCCAGCAGCGAUGAAAGUGCCAUUGAACUGCUUCCUGAAUGGUAGGAGGCCAUGGGCGAUCUUCCUUCGUCCUUCGAUUAUGGCCAUUCUUGGCUCCACCAUGUGGCAGUAGAGAAACCCUGGGUGCUUGUUGAGUUGCUGCACCAUGUAUGAGCCGAGAGCCACCGGGUCGGAGUCGAAGCAGUCCAUGAAGUCGACGAACGGCGAUAAUCUGAUUCCGACACGGUGAGCUCCCACCUCGGCGACGACGGCGUCGAUCACCUCGACGGCGAAGCGGCACCGGUUCUCGAGGCUGCCACCGUACUCGUCGGUGCGGUCGUUGGCGCUGUCCUUCAUGAACUGCUCCAGGAGGUAGCCGUGCGCGCCAUGAAUCUCCACGCCGUCGAACCCCGCCUCGAUGGCGUUCCGCGCGGCUCGCCUGAAGUCGUCGAUGAUCUGAGGGAUCUCAUCC
RNAcentral lists this long non-coding RNA (23522 nucleotides) under Oryza sativa (Asian cultivated rice). RNAcentral's name for it is "long non-coding RNA (OSAT_LNC001103)". Lineage: Eukaryota; Viridiplantae; Streptophyta; Magnoliopsida; Poales; Poaceae. The record is from RNAcentral.